UGGUCAAGGGGUUGUAUCCAGUAGAGCAGUGUUUGUAUACUGCGAUCUGUUGAGACUAUCCUAUGAUCGGGUGUUUUGUCUUCUCCUGUCAAGGGGGUGUUUUAAUUCACUCUCUAGCGCGGAGCGAAAUUUAGCCGAGUGUGGUGACUAAGUGUACAUCGCAUUGGUCCUACAUAGAAAAUGUAUCUUCUUGUUUUCGAGUGGUGACAUCUAAUUUCAAGGAUUCACUCACAUUUUGCUAACAAACGUAUGUCAAUCCUAUAGAAUUAUUGAUUCUACAUAUACAAUGUAACAUUCUUGUUUUGAGUAUAAAUGAAUUACAGUUUUAUGUAUGUAUGCGUAUCAAUGUCUCAACUUUAGGUCAGCACUUGCUGUGCCAAACACUGGAAGUUUUGAAAUAUGUUUGUUUGAAUAAUUUUAAUAGAAAAGUAACACUCAGACAUUAUGUUGUGAAGUAUGUUAUGUUAUCGAAAUAUUACAUAGAAAUUACUUAUGUAAUGUAAUUCAUAGCAUUUUGAAUUAAAGAACAUUUUUCCACAUAAAUGCUUAAGAAUGUUAGAUAUGGCAAGAAUCUCACUGAAGCACCUGCGAUUUGUUCAUCUCAUGGUGUUUAGGGGGUGUUUUAAUUCACUAGCAUUGCCCGAACGUUAUGUCGAGUAGAAGUCUUUUUUGUACCCGAA
This 680-nucleotide unclassified non-coding RNA is filed under the name Cylicocyclus auriculatus. Its description in RNAcentral is "partial contains large subunit ribosomal RNA and intergenic spacer". The record is from RNAcentral. Lineage: Eukaryota; Metazoa; Nematoda; Chromadorea; Rhabditida; Strongylidae.